Molecule: long non-coding RNA, 2867 nt
Organism: Neofelis nebulosa (Clouded leopard)
Lineage: Eukaryota; Metazoa; Chordata; Mammalia; Carnivora; Felidae
Exons: 6
Source: RefSeq, a predicted model, not a curated record
UUCUGAUGCUAUUGGUGGAUGGAUUUUUUUUGAAAUGUCAUUUUCUGAUAGUUUGUUACUAGUAUAUAGAACACUUGAUUUUGUUCUUGAGUUUUGGACAUUGGCCUUAUAUCUUGCUAAAUUUAUUAGUUUCAGGGGCUUUUUUUUGUGGGUUCUUUGGUGUUUUCUGCCUACAGCAUCAUAUCAUCUACAAAUAAUGACAAUUGUACUUCUUUCCCCCAACUGAAAUGCUUUCUAUUUUUUCCUUGUCUUAAUAAACUGAUUAGAAUGUCCAGUACAAUGUUAAAUAAAAAUGGUGAGACUGGAUGUCUUUUCUCCAUUCCUAAUCUUUGUUAGAAAACUUCAGCCUUUCCUUAUUUUAAAUGUUAUUAGCUGUAGGUUUUUCAUGGAUGCCCUUUGUCAGGUUGAGAAAGUUUCCUUCCUAGUUAGUUAAGAGUUUUAAUCAUGUGUCAAACAACAAAAUUCAAUUGAGUAAUUUAAAAUAUCAAAUUGGCUUUAUCAAACUAUUCAUGAUAAAGCAACAUCCUAUCCAGCAAAUGGAAAGGCGCUCCAUGGAGCUCAAGAAAAGGAAAGGUUUAUAAAGGCAGAGAGGAGGCUGGAAAAAAUGCGUUAUUUUAGGUAACGUAACCCUCCUAAGGGGGAACAGAAGUGGUCUAUCCGUAAAUUUCCUAGUGCUGACUAGUGAAUUUUAUGUUGACUGGUUAAAGAUUACAUUCCUAGGUGGGUUGAAACUGCAGUUAGGCUAGGCAUUAUGUCUUGGGGUGCUGAUGUGGGACCUUAAUAUAAGUGACUCUUUUGGGGGAACUGUGGUUUUCUUUUUAACACAGGAAAGGCUAUUAGGCUUUGUUAAAUGCUUUUUCUGUAUCCACUGAAAAAAAUCACAGUUUUCUCCUUUAUUAAUAUUUUGAAUUAUAUUGAUUGAUUUUCAGAUGUUAAACCAACCGUACAUGCUGAAGAUAAACUCCACUUCGUCAUGACAUAUGAUACCUUUAGUGUAAUACUGAAUUCAAUUUGUUAAUGUUUUGUUAAGUCUUUUUGCAUCUAUGUUUAUGAACGUUAGUGAUCUGUAGUUCUUUUGCCUUGUGAUGUCUUUAGUUCUGAAAUCAGAGUAUUACUGGCCUCAUAAAAUGAGUUCAGAAGUAAAGACACUUUCUGAAUGAUUUUGUGUAGUAUUGAUAUGUUGGGGUUUGUUUUUUUUUCCUUUUUCCUUUAAUUGUUGGUAGAAUUAACCAAUGAAGCCAUAUGAGCCUGGAGUUUCCUUUGUUGGAAAGUUUUUAAUUACUAAUACAACUUUUAAAAUUUAUGUAGGGCUGCUCAAGCUUACCAUUUCUUGUUGGGUUAGAUAUGGGAUUUUGUGUCUUUUUUUUUCUUUUAAUUUUUUUAAUUUUAGAAAGACAGCAUGAGCAGGGGAGGGGCAGAGAGAGGGGGAGAGAAAGAAUCUUAAGAAGGAUGCACUCUCAGUGCAGAGCCCAACAUGGGGCUCAAUCCCAUGACCCUGGGAUCAUGACCUGAGCUGAAGUCAAGAGUUGGAUGCUUAACCAACUGAACCACCAAGGUGCCCAUGCAUGGAUCUUGUGUCUUUUAAGGAAUUUGUCCAUCUUACGUGGGUUGUCAAAGGUGUUUAUAAUAAUCUCUUAUUCUUUAAUGCUCUGAAGGCACUAUAGUGAUGUCCCUUCUUUUAUUACUGAUAUCAGUACAAUGUAUGGUUUCCAUUUUUUUUUGUAGCUAGAGGUUUAUAAAUUUUAUUAAUUUUUUUUAAAAAGCGUCAAUUUCUGCUUUCAUUAGUUUUUCUUUUCUGCUUUUCUCUCUCUUUUCAAAAGAGAGAGAAAUGUUUAUUUAUUUUGAGACCGAUUGCAUGUGCACUCACGUACCCACACACAAGCAGGGGAGAGGCAGAGAGGGGGAGAGAGAAUGCCAAACAGGCUCCUCACUGUCAAUGCAGGGUCCAAUGUGGGGCUCCAUCCCAUGAACUGUGAGAUCAUGACCUGAGCUGAAAUCAAGAGUUGGACACUCAACCAGCUGAGCUACACAGGUAUUCUAAGGCUUUAAGUUUUCCUCUAAGUGUUCUGUGUUGGAUGUAUCCCCAUAAAUUCUGUCUAGCUGGGAAGGACCUUGAAAGGCAGAGGAAAAUUUUUCAUCCCGGACACCUGGCCUAGUUGGUAGUACACUUUAACACACUGGAUGCUGCUUGUCACAAACAUAGCUGUGGCUGGGAGAUCCUUGGGACAUCUGACCUAGAGCCGACAGAAGCCUCCAGAACCACCCAUCCCCCACAGUGCAGCUCUGUUCCCAACCUCAUCAGUCAUCACACCCAUGACAGUUGCUCAGUUACAAUCAAGAUCACCUCUCUGAAAGUUCCACACACUUGAUCACUGCACUUACCGUUCCCUGGACCUACUUUAUGUCUGUUCAUCUAAGCUAUAGUUUCUUCAAAACCUACCUCAUCUGUGAAGAUUUCCUAGUGCCACUCCAAAGAGAGAUGAAUCCUGGGUGACACUAGAUGCCAUGUGUUGAAGAUAUCAAGGCUCCUGUCAACCUGGUGCCUGAAAAGGCUAUUGUGCCAACCCCUUCACUUCACUACUGUCAUGAACCCAGUGACCCACCAGAGGACUGGACAGUUUAAGGCCAGCUCCAGAAACAAAUGGAAGACAGUUCAAGUACUUAAUAUAAAAACCUUUUUAAAUUUCUUUUUCUUUCGUCCCUCCCUCCCUCCCUCUCUUUCUUUCUUUCUCUUUCUCUUUCUUUCUCUCUCUCUCUCUCUCUCUCUCUCUCUUUCUUUUAUUGUUGGUCCCCUAGCAACAACUCAGUUCCAUUUGGUUCAGCCACCUGAGAACCAAGUGAACUAUGUGCCAGGUACUGUUCUAGGG